CGGGGCGUAGCGCAGUCUGGUAAGCGCGCCUGCUUCGGGAGCAGGAGGUCGGAGGUUCAAAUCCUCUCGCCCCGACCA
RNAcentral lists this transfer RNA (78 nucleotides) under candidate division Zixibacteria bacterium SM23_81. RNAcentral's name for it is "tRNA-Pro". It matches the Rfam family "tRNA". From Rfam's summary of the family: Transfer RNA (tRNA) molecules are approximately 80 nucleotides in length. Lineage: Bacteria; Pseudomonadati; Candidatus Zixiibacteriota. The record is from RNAcentral. RNAcentral also lists the same sequence under 1 other name.